UGGGGAAUUUUCCGCAAUGGGCGAAAGCCUGACGGAGCAAUACCGCGUGAGGGAGGAAGGCUCUUGGGUUGUAAACCUCUUUUCUCAGGGAAGAAAAAAAUGACGGUACCUGAGGAAUAAGCAUCGGCUAACUCCGUGCCAGCAGCCGCGGUAAUACGGAGGAUGCAAGCGUUAUCCGGAAUGAUUGGGCGUAAAGCGUCCGCAGGUGGCUAUGUAAGUCUGCUGUUAAAGAAUGAGGCUCAACCUCAUCAAAGCAGUGGAAACUACAAGGCUAGAGUGCGUUCGGGGUAGAGGGAAUUCCUGGUGUAGCGGUGAAAUGCGUAGAUAUCAGGAAGAACUCCGGUGGCGAAAGCGCUCUACUAGGCCGCAACUGACACUGAGGGACGAAAGCUAGGGGAGCGAAUGGGAUUAGAUACCCCAGUAGUCCUAGCCGUAAACGAUGGAUACUAGGCGUGGCUUGUAUCGACCCGAGCCGUGCCGGAGCUAACGCGUUAAGUAU
This 499-nucleotide ribosomal RNA is filed under the name uncultured cyanobacterium. Its description in RNAcentral is "bacterial SSU rRNA". It matches the Rfam family "Bacterial small subunit ribosomal RNA", at positions 355 to 867 of the family's 1533-position model. Lineage: Bacteria; Bacillati; Cyanobacteriota. The record is from RNAcentral.